Paramuricea clavata is the source of this 523-nucleotide non-coding RNA. NCBI's taxonomy places the organism in Eukaryota, Metazoa, Cnidaria, Anthozoa, Malacalcyonacea, Plexauridae. The record is from the annotation of a GenBank genome assembly.
GCCAAGUUUAAGUACAUCACAGGAAGACGCUUUAUGUGCGAUGGAGUCUUGUAUCGAAAAGAUAAGACGCUGGAUGAUUCAGGAUAAACUCCUGAUGAACGAUGGCAAAACUGAAUUCUUGGUCAUUGGCACUCGUCAGCAAUUAUAUAAACUUCAGCCUAUCAGCAUUUCAGUUAAUAAUUCUGUGAUUUCUCCUAGCACACAUAUUAAGAACCUUGGCAGCUGGUUGGACUCGAACUUAAACAUGACGACUCAUAUUACAAAAGUACGUAAAGCCUGCUUUUUCCACCUGCAUAAUAUCAGACGAAUUAAGAAAUAUCUAUCAAGAGACAACUUACUGAUCCUAGUACAUGCUUUCAUCACCAGCAGGCUCGACUACUGUAACAGCUUAUUCUACGGUCUCCCCGGAAAGCAAAUAUCUAAACUACAGCGUGUUCAGAAUGCCGCUGCAAGAUUAGUAAUGGACGUUCCGAAAUAUUCUCAUAUUAUGCCCGUACUGUAUAUGAACUACACUGGCUUCCGG